RNAcentral lists this long non-coding RNA (226 nucleotides) under Elaeis guineensis (African oil palm). RNAcentral's name for it is "long non-coding RNA (EGUI_LNC029975)". The record is from RNAcentral. Lineage: Eukaryota; Viridiplantae; Streptophyta; Magnoliopsida; Arecales; Arecaceae.
GCCAACACAAUAAAAUAGCCGAUCAUCUGUAUCUCAAAGAAAGCGAUAUCAAAAUUGAGAUUCGAUGUGACAAAAAAUAACUCCCUUCAUCCAACGUGAUAAACUAUGUGAUAAUAUACACGUCGACUCACUUUGGACUUGGGAAUGGGGGGUAACUGUUGAGAUAAGUCAAUCAACCUCUGACUCAGAUCAAUUGAUUAUCGACUUCGACUCAACAACAGCUGAC